Molecule: long non-coding RNA, 1115 nt
Organism: Myripristis murdjan (pinecone soldierfish)
Lineage: Eukaryota; Metazoa; Chordata; Actinopteri; Holocentriformes; Holocentridae
Exons: 3
Source: RefSeq, a predicted model, not a curated record
GAAAUGAUAUCAAAUGGAAUGUAUCCAUAGAUAUGUUAUUUAAAUGUGUUAUGUAAAUGAGUUGGUUAUCGGAUAUUUUACAACGACUUCAAACGUGACUCAGCCACUCCAAACCUGACGGCGUUGACAGCCAUUGUUAGGAUACUGUGCCGGUGGCCCACCAUGAGGUUCACACGAAAACACACAGACAAGUUGAUUUUGUGUCAUGCGCAGCACAGCCUUUGGCAAUUUCCAUAAAUUCACCUGUCACGCCAACUGCAACUGCAGCGGGCAUGAACAAGUUGACAAAAUGUCAGCAACAGGUGUGCACCUGCUUGGGAAAAGCUGAAAAUAUUGAGCGUCGACAGUAAAACGAGUAAAACGGACGACAUUUCCGAGUAGUUUGGAGAAACAGGUCGUGUUUGACAAGCGUAAAUCAACCGGUUCGGUGAGUCGGUUGAGAGUUAAUCCAAUUCCCGUGACCGGUCUGCGCUACUUAGAAUCUCUUCAUUCUCGUCAGCGCUCAAACACCGAGAGAAAGCAAAAUUACUGCCACGUUUUCAUCGACAUAUCAUCAUUCACAUAAUGCUUAAUUUCUCACAAAAAAAUUGUUGAGUAAAACUUUGCUGACGAUGACAACUCACCUUGGGACUCGGGAGGAGAUGCGUCGCUGCCAUCCUGGUCCGCCAUUUCUCCUGACGUCAGCAGAGAGGGAUCAGCAGCACGAGCCUCAGAGACCUGCCGCCCCGCACACACACACGGACAGAAUGUGCCGGCUUACCCCCCCAGACCCCCAGAAUGAUGUCUGCUGAUUGGUGCAUGGAAGACUGUAACCAGGGCAACCAGCUGUUUGGAAAUUUCUCUGAUGGAGGAGGAGUCGUCGAGAGAUGUCGGCUUGCAGCUUACUUGCCUACUAGCUCCCGCAUUUGGAUCCUACCAACCUCCUGACACGGAACAGUCCAUAUACAGCAGAUAGUUCUUACUGCUUUGUUUGCUGUAUUUAAAAGAAACUGGUUGGCAGUUGUAUGGCGCUGAACACAACCCAAAGUAGUGGUACUGGAAGUGAAAUUCUGAAUCUCUGGCAAGAAGACAUGAUUGUAACUGAAUUUAAAUCUGUGACAUGAUUGGUUGUCCUU